RNAcentral lists this ribosomal RNA (889 nucleotides) under uncultured bacterium. RNAcentral describes it as "bacterial SSU rRNA". It matches the Rfam family "Bacterial small subunit ribosomal RNA", at positions 199 to 1103 of the family's 1533-position model. The record is from RNAcentral.
GACCAAAGCUUUAUGUGCUGAAAGAUGGUCUCGCGUCUGAUUAGCUAGUUGGUGAGGUAACGGCUCACCAAGGCGACGAUCAGUAGCCGGUCUGAGAGGAUGAACGGCCACAUUGGGACUGAGAUACGGCCCAGACUCCUACGGGAGGCAGCAGUGGGGAAUAUUGGGCAAUGGGGGAAACCCUGACCCAGCAACGCCGCGUGAAGGAAGAAGGCCUUCGGGUUGUAAACUUCUUUUACCAGGGACGAAGAACGUGACGGUACCUGGGGAAAAAGCAACGGCUAACUACGUGCCAGCAGCCGCGGUAAUACGUAGGUUGCAAGCGUUGUCCGGAUUUACUGGGUGUAAAGGGCGUGUAGGCGGAGAUGCAAGUUGGGAGUGAAAUCCCGGGGCUCAACCCCGGAACUGCUUUCAAAACUGUAUCCCUUGAGUGUCGGAGAGGCAAGCGGAAUUCCUAGUGUAGCGGUGAAAUGCGUAGAUAUUAGGAGGAACACCAGUGGCGAAGGCGGCUUGCUGGACGAUAACUGACGCUGAGGCGCGAAAGCGUGGGGAGCAAACAGGAUUAGAUACCCUGGUAGUCCACGCUGUAAACGAUGAAUACUAGGUGUGGGAGGACUGACCCCUUCCGUGCCGCAGUUAACACAAUAAGUAUUCCACCUGGGGAGUACGACCGCAAGGUUGAAACUCAAAGGAAUUGACGGGGGCCCGCACAAGCAGUGGAUUAUGUGGUUUAAUUCGACGCAACGCAAAGAACCUUACCAGGAUUUGACAUCCAACUAACGAAGUANAGAUACAUUNNUGCCCUUCGGGGAAAGUUGAGACAGUGGUGCAUGGUUGUCGUCAGCUCGUGUCNNGAGAUGUUGGGUUAAGUCCCGCAACGAGCGCAACC